Molecule: long non-coding RNA, 513 nt
Organism: Eptesicus fuscus (big brown bat)
Lineage: Eukaryota; Metazoa; Chordata; Mammalia; Chiroptera; Vespertilionidae
Exons: 2
Source: RefSeq, a predicted model, not a curated record
ACCCUUUGAGUCUGAAGAAGCACGGCAGACCUCCCUGAGGUCACCGGUGGCCACGCGCACAGACCGUGGGGAACGGGUGACACAAGCGACAGAGGCAACUACCCUGCGCUCGCAGCUCCACACAUCUUCCCACCAUCGGUUUUACCACAUCUUAGCGGAUCCCACUUCAGGGUGCAGUGAGUUAGUGUUUUCUCAGCGUCUCCCACCAACACUGGCACUGGUUUCAGGCAGACUCCUCACCGAGCCCGGGUCCCUCCGUCCCUUCCCGGUUGGCAGCCCCGCCUCGGACGCGCAACAGCUGAGCGGGACUGGCGACAUCUGCCGGCUCGUUCGGAGCCAAGGAACCCACUCGAAGCCAUCUGGCUCUGCCUUUAAUUGACUAUUGAUUUUAUUCCCAGUGUCUUCAACGCCUGGCGCCGCUCUCUCACGGAAAGGCUAAUGGUGUUAAGUUUAUUUUCUCCGGACACAGGUUUUGUCUCUUCCAGUGGCUACAAUUAAACAUGAUUUAAUUAA